CGGGCUGGAGUAUGCUGGUAGUACGCCUGCUUUGGGAGCAGGCAGACUGGGUUCGAUUCCCAGCAGCCCGA
Molecule: transfer RNA, 71 nt
Filed under: Candidatus Giovannonibacteria bacterium RIFCSPLOWO2_01_FULL_44_16
Lineage: Bacteria; Candidatus Giovannoniibacteriota
Description: tRNA-Pro
Rfam family: tRNA
About the family: Transfer RNA (tRNA) molecules are approximately 80 nucleotides in length. Their secondary structure includes four short double-helical elements and three loops (D, anti-codon, and T loops). Further hydrogen bonds mediate the characteristic L-shaped molecular structure. tRNAs have two regions of fundamental functional importance: the anti-codon, which is responsible for specific mRNA codon recognition, and the 3' end, to which the tRNAs corresponding amino acid is attached (by aminoacyl-tRNA synthetases). tRNAs cope with the degeneracy of the genetic code in two manners: having more than one tRNA (with a specific anti-codon) for a particular amino acid; and 'wobble' base-pairing, i.e. permitting non-standard base-pairing at the 3rd anti-codon position.
Source: RNAcentral